RNAcentral lists this ribosomal RNA (503 nucleotides) under uncultured bacterium. Its description in RNAcentral is "bacterial SSU rRNA". It matches the Rfam family "Bacterial small subunit ribosomal RNA", at positions 32 to 509 of the family's 1533-position model. The record is from RNAcentral.
AAUCAACGCUGGCGGCGUGCCUCAGACAUGCAAGUCGAACGCGAAAGGUUCCUUCGGGAGCCGAGUAGAGUGGCGCUCGGGUGAGUAACACGUAGGUAAUUUGCCUUUGGGUGGGGAAUAACAAUCGGAAACGGUUGCUAAUACCGCAUAAUGCAGCGGCUCGACGUCGAGACAGUUGUUAAAGCGGGGGAUCCUUCGGGACCUCGCGCCUAAAGAGAAGCCUGCGGCGGAUUAGCUAGUGGUGAGGUAAUGGCUCACCAAGGCGACGAUCCGUAACCGGCCUGAGAGGGCGGACGGUCACACUGACACUUAAAUACGGGUCAGACUCCUACGGGAGGCAGCAGUCGGGAAUUUUGGGCAAUGGGCGAAAGCCUGACCCAGCAACGCCGCGUGAAGGAUGAAAUCCCUCGGGAUGUAAACUUCGCAAGAACGGGAAGAAUAAGCGAGAGUAAAUACCUCUCGUGNUGACGGUACCGUUUGUAAGCUCCGGCUAACUCCGUGCC